UGGAAGACAGGAAGUGAUGUCAGGUAUAAAUAGGAAUUACCGAGCGAGAUGUGAGUCGGGAGGAAGUAGAGAGGAGACAUUGCUCGACCUGGCAGCCGAGAAGGGAAACCUUAAUAUAUCACAUGACCAAUGAUGAUGGAGGAAGAUCGGAGUCACAUGACGGAGAAGAUACUAAACCUCACCCUGGAGAUCAUCUACCUGCUGACCGGAGAGAGAUUUCCUCUUGUGAAGUCAGGUGAUCAUAU
Long non-coding RNA from Rana temporaria (common frog), 245 nucleotides. RefSeq lists it as uncharacterized. Lineage: Eukaryota; Metazoa; Chordata; Amphibia; Anura; Ranidae. The record is from RefSeq and is a predicted model, not a curated record. The transcript has 3 exons.